Molecule: ribosomal RNA, 233 nt
Filed under: uncultured bacterium
Lineage: Bacteria
Description: partial 16S ribosomal RNA
Rfam family: Archaeal small subunit ribosomal RNA
Source: RNAcentral
UCCUGGCCGUAAACGCUGCCCGUUAGGUGUUGCACUCCCUACGGGGGUAUGCAGUGCCGUAGCGAAGGCGUUAAACGGGCCGCCUGGGGAGUACGGUCGCAAGGCUGAAACUUAAAGGAAUAGGCGGGGGAGCACAACAAGGGGUGAAUGUGUGCGGUUUAAUCGGAUUCAACUCCGAGAACCUCACCAGGAACGACAGCUGGAUGAAGGUCAGUCUGAAGGGCUUACCUAAC